CCAUUAUUUUGUGGGAGUGCCUUGGUUGAGAGGAACAGCAUUCAGACUGACCUUGAAACGAGAAGAGGGAAUCUGUUACAAGAUAAUGUCCAGCAGGAACUCCUAAUUUCAGUUCCGAAGAAACAAGUUGGGAAUCGCUGCUGGGCCACCAACAUAGCAAAAGAAGAUGGCUGUGGGAAAAGAGCUCUGCAUUCUCUUUGUGCAAGACACAACUCCAACUGUAGCCUGUGGCUGACUCCAUCUCUUGAUAAAUUGGAAGUGAAACCAUCUUUCUUCUGGCUCUCUAGAGACCUGAAAUACUCUACUUCUUCUGGACAUAACAGGAAGGUACAGUAGUCUGUCGUGACUUGUUGAUUAACAGCAUCUAAUGGGCACAUGUUUGGUGGAAAGAUGAUUUCCUACGACUACCUCUUUCGGUAAGUAUCCAUUUGCUAACACAGACUCUUUGAAGAUCUGCACUGGUAAGUAUAUAUGCUUCUUAAAAAUGAAACUCGAUAUGUUUGGACAUGCCUAUUUAGGAAAUUUGGUUCAAAAGAGAAUGCUAAUUUCACAGCAUUGCCAAGUUUUCUUGGUCAGAUCUGUUGGGGAAACCUGUUCCCUCCAUCUUAAACCCUGAAGGAAUAGGGUUGAAGGUUAAUUAAUCAAUCAACCUAAUAGCCCCAAGGCCAAUUUGUCAGUUGAGGGUGUUUAUUGAUCACCUGGUGAGAGAUAUAGGAUGAAUAGCUAGCUAUGGAUGAAGGGUCCAGAAUGACUCAUUAAAGGAAUCAUGAAGGAUGGGAGUGUGAAGAA
RNAcentral lists this long non-coding RNA (789 nucleotides) under Ornithorhynchus anatinus (platypus). RNAcentral's name for it is "lncRNA (ENSOANG00000046723.1)". The record is from RNAcentral. Lineage: Eukaryota; Metazoa; Chordata; Mammalia; Monotremata; Ornithorhynchidae.